This is a long non-coding RNA of Motacilla alba alba, 1826 nucleotides long. RefSeq lists it as uncharacterized. The record is from RefSeq and is a predicted model, not a curated record. The transcript is spliced from 4 exons. NCBI's taxonomy places the organism in Eukaryota, Metazoa, Chordata, Aves, Passeriformes, Motacillidae.
GCUGAACUAUUGCUUCUGGUGAAUGGAGUUAACAGGCAGAAAAUUCUUCUGCUGUAGCAGAGUAUUUAUCUGUCUCUCAAGGAUUUUUUCUUGAAAAGUAUUGAGUUGUAUUGUUAUCAACCUGCUGUUAUCUCUGGACAAAGAACCCCUUGUUGAGAGAAACACAUUGAGAAACGCCUUGAUCACUCCUUAGCAGAAGCAGAUUUGCUGGGAGGCAGCGUUUCCUCAGCGCAGGCUUUGUAUGGAUCAAUCCGUUUGCAGCCUUUCAGACUCGAUGUACAAAUUUGUGUUUGGCAGUAAUGUAGAAUGGAAAGCAUGAAGAGGUGGUCAGGGUUCUGAGGAAGGCAGAAGCAGCUGAAGGCUGUUGCAAGGCCAGUGAUGCCUCCAGUUCUACAGAAGCAGCCCUGCCUGUUUCAUUCAGUGGAACUCUCUCAGCUGAAACCUAAUUAGAGGACCCUGAAAUAGACCUUUCACAUUCAUUCUUGAAAAUAUUCAGACUGACAGCUAACAAGUAGUGUCCACCUGCUGAUAUGAGCGUUCCAAACAGCAGAAGAUCUGUUCAGAGAAACCCAGUAACGAGGAAUUUCCUUCAGAUGGAGCUCUGUGCCAACCUGCUCUAAUAGGGAAGGACACAUUGGAAGGGGAAAGUUUAAUCCAUUCUGAAAAACUCAAAGCUGUAUUCAAUAUGUAUGAUCCCGUGAGCUUGAUCCUGGCUCUCUGGGGCUCUAGUUAUUUGGGUUUUGCAAGGUGUUGUUGAGUCUACAUUUUCACAGUAGGCUCAAGUAAACCUGGAUAUUUUAUUUUUGACAUUAAACUAUUAUGCUUUUCCCAUGUUCAAUUGAUUGUACUGACCAUCACUUUGGCUACAUUCACAGCUACUUAUUUAGACAGAAAUAAUGGAUCAUAAUUUUUCAGUGUCCUACUAUGACUUAAAAUUACAAAAUAAAAAGCUAGGAGCUGAUGCAGGGCUCCAAGACAGUGACAAUGAUAAAGGAGCCUUUUAAAGAUCUGAUUUUCCUCUCAGUUUUAUUUAUAGAUGCUGCAGGGGUCCAACCCAUUUCUUUCCAACUGCCUACUCAGAAGGGCUGCUCACAUGACAGUUUUAUGAACAGAGCUUGUGCCAGUCAGGCACAAGACCCAGGAAAUACAGCCCUGGCAUUCUGCUCUUUCCCACUGCAGGGAAUAGCCGUUGGAUCUGUUUCUAUCUGGGAUUUCUGGUUUUGGUAAAGAGAAAAGGAUUUGAGCAGGCCACCUGCAGAUAAGAGGAGAGUUACUGUUUUCUUAGUCUGUUUGCAGCCUGAGGGCAGAGGGCAGGCACAGAACUCUGCUGAGGCAGAUUGAAUACAAGCAUGGCUUCAGUUAAAUGAGACACAACACCAUGCUAACAUGAAAACUGUACUCUAUUUAUAUGCACAAGUCUUUUUUGAUAUCUUCCUCCGUUCAUUUGGUGGAAUAAUGGGGAAAUAUUGCUUGUGACUGAAUUUUUUAUCAUUUGAAGAAGAACUGUUGUACGUGUCAGAGUAGCUGCAAUCUGAUCUUCAUGGGUGUGGAGAGUCAAACUCAGCCUUUCCCUCUGCCAUGCUGGUACUGAUCACUGCUGGGCCAGAGAAGAACAAAUGACUAGCAAGAUAUCAGAAGUGGAGAUAAAUGGAAAUAUGGGAAAUGGCUGAUGUUAGUUUAUCCCACAAUGAGAUUAACCUAAUUAAUGGAUGAAUAUCAUAUUUGGUUUUUUUUCCUAUGGAAAUAUGAAGCAUAAAGGACCCAUUUAGCCUAGCAAGAAGAUGUGCUACCUUGGAUACAGUCUGUAAAAAAUAUGAAAAAUACUG